RNAcentral lists this microRNA (22 nucleotides) under Danio rerio (zebrafish). RNAcentral describes it as "dre-miR-7132-5p". Lineage: Eukaryota; Metazoa; Chordata; Actinopteri; Cypriniformes; Danionidae. The record is from miRBase by way of RNAcentral.
GACUUGGUCUAAGCUCCUCAGU